Molecule: ribosomal RNA, 493 nt
Filed under: uncultured bacterium
Lineage: Bacteria
Description: partial 16S ribosomal RNA
Rfam family: Bacterial small subunit ribosomal RNA
Source: RNAcentral
AUUGAACGCUGGCGGCAUGCUUUACACAUGCAAGUCGAACGGUAACAGGUUAAGCUGACGAGUGGCGAACGGGUGAGUAAUGCAUCGGAACGUGCCCGGUCGUGGGGGAUAACGCAGCGAAAGCUGCGCUAAUACCGCAUACGAUCUGAGGAUGAAAGCGGGGGACCGUAAGGCCUCGCGCGAUCGGAGCGGCCGAUGUCAGAUUAGGUAGUUGGUGGGGUAAAGGCUCACCAAGCCAACGAUCUGUAGCUGGUCUGAGAGGACGAACAGCCACACUGGGACUGAGACACGGCCCAGACUCCUACGGGAGGCAGCAGUGGGGAAUUUUGGGUAAUGGGCGAAAGCCUGAUCCAGCAAUGCCGCGUGCAGGAAGAAGGCCUUCGGGUUGUAAACUGCUUUUGUACGGAGCGAAAAGGUCUCCUCUAAUACAGGGGGCUCAUGACGGUACCGUAAGAAUAAGCACCGGCUAACUACGUGCCAGCCGCCGCAGUAA